Long non-coding RNA from Candoia aspera, 394 nucleotides. RefSeq lists it as uncharacterized. NCBI's taxonomy places the organism in Eukaryota, Metazoa, Chordata, Lepidosauria, Squamata, Candoiidae. The transcript is spliced from 2 exons. The record is from RefSeq and is a predicted model, not a curated record.
UUCUGUUUAUUUCCAAUGUCCCACAUGAAGAAGUGAAGGAGAGGAACUGGAAAGCUAUGGCUUGCCUAAAAUGACCCACAUGAGAUGCAAACUGAAGUAAAAGAUCAGCGUUUUAGGCUGCAAUUUUAAAGACACAAACCUGUUCUGACAAGUUACACUGAACCAAAAUGAGAAUAGAGAGAAGCAUGCAGCAGAUGAAGCAGCCACCUUCAUAGGUCCAGCCAAAGGGACUUUUUACUAUCUUCAUUCCCUGCAAACUCCCAACUACCAUACAAAUCUGCUAUGGAGGGGGGGAUGAGAGGGAAACAAAUUACCUCCUUCCUUUUUAUGUCUGGAAACUGCUUCACUCAAACAAUGUUCAUGGGCAAGCCAAUGGAAUAAAAAUUAAGGAAGA